Molecule: RNA transcript, 2937 nt
Organism: Scleropages formosus (Asian bonytongue)
Lineage: Eukaryota; Metazoa; Chordata; Actinopteri; Osteoglossiformes; Osteoglossidae
Gene name: probable aminopeptidase NPEPL1
Exons: 12
Source: RefSeq, a predicted model, not a curated record
AAACCGCGCGAGCGCAGCGGUAAGGGCGGAGAUAAUGGCGGCCGCCGAGCUGCUCUUCUGUCGGCGCUCCAGCCCCGGAGAGACGGCGGAGCGCGCGCUGCUCAUCGUGGGCCAGUCGGCGCACCUGCGCAGCUUGAGCUGGGAGGACGUGCGAGACGUGUUGCUGCCACGCGUGGACGAACAGACGUGGCGACGUGCGCUCCGGUGCCUGCAGGCCGACAGGACGGAUGUCUGCCCGCUGUGGUUAAACAUGGUAACGGUGGCCGCCCUGCCGCCCGCGGUGAGUCGCCACAACACGCCAUCCAGCGCGCACGCGCUCGCGCGGCUCGUGGAGACACGGCUCGGUGCCCAGCACAGCGCCCACAUCAUGGUAGUGUGUGAGAAGUCCUCUGUAUUUGCGUCGGCCUGCGCCGUUGCCAGGGCCUUCCCUCUGUUCAGCCGCAAGUCCGAGCGCAGCUCGAGCAGAGAGGACCGCAGGGUCACGGUCGAGUUCUUCUGCGUGGAGCCGCGGGGGGAGCGGCUCAGUAACUCGGCUCUUGAGUGCUUGUCCCGCGCGGCGCAGAGCGUCCGGCUGGCGGCUCGAAUCGUCGACUCUCCGUGCAGCGACAUGGACACCGAACGCUUCCUCCAGGAGGUGCGGGCGGUGGCCGCGGAGCUCCGAAUCUCUCCCGUGAUCAUCCGCGGCGAAGAGCUGCGCAAGAAGGGAUUCGGAGGCAUCUACGGCGUUGGGAAGGGGGCAACGAGCCGCCCCGCGCUGGCUGUCCUCAGCCACACGCCCCCUGCGGCCACCCAGACCAUCGCCUGGGUGGGCAAAGGCGUCGUGUAUGACACGGGGGGGCUCAUCCUCAAGGGCAAAACUCAGCUUCCGGGUAUGAAGAGGGACUGCGCAGGGGCUGCGGCUGUCCUUGGGGCCUUCAGCGCAGCGGUCAAACAGGGUUUCAAAGAGAACCUUCAUGCCAUCCUCUGCUUAGCGGAGAACUGCACUGGGCCCAGAGCAACGAGGCCAGACGAUAUCCAUCGGCUCUACUCAGGAAAAACGGUGGAAAUCCGGAACACGGACGCGGAGGGGCGCCUACUACUGGCGGACGGCGCAGCGUACGCCCUCAGGGAUCUGAAAGCAGACGUCAUCUUGGACAUGGCCACCCUCACGGGUGCUCAGGGCGUGGCCACGGGCCGGUACCACGGCGCCCUGCUGACCAACGACGAGGACUGGGAGAAGGCGUGCGUGGCAGCGGGGCGCAGCAGCGGCGACCUCGUUCAGCCGCUCGUCUACACGCCCGAGCUACACUUCAGACCGCAGUAAUGCGCCGUGCUCCUGCGCCGGACUCUUCAUCGGAGCGCAGCUGGGAUUCAGCUGGUCGGGAGUGUGGAUCCACGUGGACAUGGCCUCCCCUGCAUACAGUGGGGAGCGCGCCACAGGCUACGGGGUGGCUCUGCUCCUGGCGUUGUUCGGACGCUCCACGGACGACGCCCUCCUGCAGCUCAUUUCCCCAGCCGGGCCGGAGAGACACGGUGGGGCGAGCGAGGUGGCGAAGGGUGCUCCCAAGAGGAGGAAGCUCAUCUGACCGCACGGGUCAUAACGCGGCGCUCGACAGGUUACAGGGGUGACACACCUUUCACGAGGAAAUGCUGGAGCUGCACUUGCAUCCAGUUGAAGAGCUUUAAAAUGUUUUUUUUUUUUUUUUUUUUUUUAAAAGGUGAUACUUGAAUGUUAGUGUCUUUGUGGUUAAUCUCCUGACCGCACACGGUUACUGAACAGGCUAGUGGUCGACCACGUUAAAAUAAAUACCAUCCAGCCAUCACAUGUCCAAUGUCUUUAUUUGGAGACCAUCGAACCACAAUUACACCACGUAACCUUUAAACAUAAAAGUACACAGUUAAAUCUGUUUAUAUUUCCUUGCUUUAAAAAAAAUUUAAAUGGACACUUUCAAUAGUGAUUAUUUUUUGCAGUACUUGUAAUGCAUAGUUUCACUUUCCCAGUUUCUUAUGUAUUACCUUAUUUGUUCUGUUUCACUUUAUAUAUUUUUUUUAGGAACAUUAAAAACCGUCAUAUAUAAUCAAAAUGCAGCUCUGUUCAUUAAUACAAGUUGACGUUAUGCCUCUAGAUGUUAGUCGGCACAGCCGGUGGAGGUGGGUUCAAAUUCCGCUCUGUGUGGAGUGUGUGUGUAUGUAUAGAUGUACGAAGGGGUGGAGCCAGUUUACAGGAAUGUAUCCAGCACUGUAAGUCACCUGGGUUUAGAUAAAUACCCAUGUGUGUCGUUGUGUAACCGAGGCCUUUGUCACCGGUCACUAAGCGUGAAAGGUUUGCGCAAUAAGUGCCUUUUAUUGCCAAAAUACUGUGAUUGAGGGUAAGAACGUCAGGCUACCGCAGUGGGCUUUGAACAGGGUGCUUUCCGAUUGCAGGGUAACGGUUCGACAGUCCCCAGCAGUGCUUUUUAGGAGUCACACUAGGAUAAAAGGCAAAGCAGUAAAAACAGGGUGCACGAAACAGUAGAGGACAACUGGGACCUGCUGCUGAAGUCCUCCGGGGCUCAGAUACAGUAGGGGGGGAGGGUGGGAAGGAAACAAAAAAAGGAUCAAGUCUCUCCUUUGUGAGAUGAUUAACUUUUCCUGAGAAACAUGUGUCCUCAAUUUCAGCACCGUGGACAAAACACGGUGAAAGGGCGUCCUCGUCUGUCCACAGUGUUUACAACGCUUUGUGCACAGGAGGGACGCAACGUACGUACGUGUGUGUGUGUGUGUGUGUCGCUGUUCUCCCUCUCCAAGCGUCUCUGCCCCCGUGCAGUGCGACAGUUCAAGUUUACGGGCGAAGGUUUGCGGUUUCUUUCCCGAAAAGUUCCGCGCCGCGUGUCGCUGUGCUCAGCAACACACCCCCCGAAAGCCGCUGGAGGAAGGUGCUGUCGCGACAGCAGUUACCCGUCUCACCGCUUGACCGCU